GUCGGGGUCGCCUAGCCUGGUAGGGCGUCAGCCUGCUAAGCUGAUGGGCUUACGCCCACGUGGGUUCAAAUCCCACCCCCGACG
RNAcentral lists this transfer RNA (84 nucleotides) under Candidatus Hydrothermarchaeota archaeon. Its description in RNAcentral is "tRNA-Ser". It matches the Rfam family "tRNA". From Rfam's summary of the family: Transfer RNA (tRNA) molecules are approximately 80 nucleotides in length. Their secondary structure includes four short double-helical elements and three loops (D, anti-codon, and T loops). RNAcentral also lists the same sequence under 1 other name. Lineage: Archaea; Methanobacteriati; Candidatus Hydrothermarchaeota. The record is from RNAcentral.